UACGUAGGGUGCAAGCGUUGUCCGGAAUUAUUGGGCGUAAAGAGCUCGUAGGCGGUUCAGUAAGGCGGGUGUGAAAACUCUGGGCUCAACCCAGAGACGCCACCCGAUACUGCUGUGACUUGAGUACGGUAGGGGAGUGGGGAAUUCCUGGUGUAGCGGUGAAAUGCGCAGAUAUCAGGAGGAACACCAGUGGCGAAGGCGCCACUCUGGGCCGUAACUGACGCUGAGGGGCGAAAGCGUGGGUAGCAAACAGG
RNAcentral lists this ribosomal RNA (254 nucleotides) under uncultured bacterium. Its description in RNAcentral is "partial 16S ribosomal RNA". It matches the Rfam family "Bacterial small subunit ribosomal RNA", at positions 524 to 776 of the family's 1533-position model. The record is from RNAcentral.